UACAAAAGGUUACAUUGAGGUCCUAUGCUC
Molecule: non-coding RNA, 30 nt
Filed under: Homo sapiens (human)
Lineage: Eukaryota; Metazoa; Chordata; Mammalia; Primates; Hominidae
Source: RNAcentral